AUUGAACGCUGGCGGCAUGCUUUACACAUGCAAGUCGAACGGCAGCGGGGAGGUGCUUGCUUCUCUGCCGGCGAGUGGCGAACGGGUGAGUAAUACAUCGCAACGUGUCGAGAAGAGGGGGAUAACCACCCGCUAGGGUGGCUAAUACCGCAUAAAUUCUGAGGAAGAAAGCUGGGGACCUAGUAAUAGGCCUAGCGCUUUUUGAGCGGCCGAUGUCGGAUUAGCUAGUUGGUGUGGUAAAGGCUCACCAAGGCGAAGAUCUGUAGCGGGUCUGAGAGGAUGAUCCGCCACACUGGGACUGAGACACGGCCCAGACUCCUACGGGAGGCAGCAGUGGGGAAUUUUGGACAAUGGGGGCAACCCUGAUCCAGCCAUGCCGCGUGUAUGAAGAAGGCCUUAGGGUUGUAAAGUACUUUUGUUAGGGAAGAAAAGGCAGCUGUGAAUAAUGGCUGAUACUGACGGUACCUAAAGAAUAAGCACCGGCUAACUACGUG
RNAcentral lists this ribosomal RNA (494 nucleotides) under uncultured bacterium. RNAcentral describes it as "partial 16S ribosomal RNA". It matches the Rfam family "Bacterial small subunit ribosomal RNA", at positions 30 to 507 of the family's 1533-position model. The record is from RNAcentral.